GAUGAACGCUGGCGGCGUGCUUAACACAUGCAAGUCGAACGAAGCAUAAGAGUUGCUUGCAACACUUAUGACUUAGUGGCGGACGGGUGAGUAACGCGUGGGUAACCUACCCUGUACAGGGGGAUAACAGUUAGAAAUGACUGCUAAUACCGCAUAAGCACACGCUGUCACAUGACAGAGGGUGAAAAGAUUUAUCGGUACAGGAUGGGCCCGCGUCUGAUUAGCUAGUUGGUGAGGUAAAGGCUUACCAAGGCGACGAUCAGUAGCCGACCUGAGAGGGUGAUCGGCCACAUUGGAACUGAGAAACGGUCCAAACUCCUACGGGAGGCAGCAGUGGGGAAUAUUGGGCAAUGGGCGCAAGCCUGACCCAGCAACGCCGCGUGAAGGAAGAAGGUUUUCGGAUCGUAAACUUCUAUCCUUGGUGAAGAUAAUGACGGUAGCCGAGAAGGAAGCCCCGGCUAACUACGUG
This 469-nucleotide ribosomal RNA is filed under the name uncultured bacterium. RNAcentral describes it as "bacterial SSU rRNA". It matches the Rfam family "Bacterial small subunit ribosomal RNA", at positions 28 to 507 of the family's 1533-position model. The record is from RNAcentral.